Molecule: ribosomal RNA, 433 nt
Filed under: uncultured bacterium
Lineage: Bacteria
Description: partial 16S ribosomal RNA
Rfam family: Bacterial small subunit ribosomal RNA
Source: RNAcentral
AACGAACGCUGGCGGCAUGCCUAACACAUGCAAGUCGAACGAGACCUUCGGGUCUAGUGGCGCACGGGUGCGUAACGCGUGGGAACCUGCCCUUAGGUUCGGAAUAACUCCCCGAAAGGGGUGCUAAUACCGGAUAAUGUCUUCGGACCAAAGAUUUAUCGCCUUUGGAUGGGCCCGCGUUGGAUUAGCUAGUUGGUAGGGUAAAAGCCUACCAAGGCGACGAUCCAUAGCUGGUCUGAGAGGAUGAUCAGCCACACUGGGACUGAGACACGGCCCAGACUCCUACGGGAGGCAGCAGUAGGGAAUAUUGGACAAUGGGCGAAAGCCUGAUCCUGCAAUGCCGCGUGAGUGAUGAAGGCCUUAGGGUUGUAAAGCUCUUUUACCCGGGAUGAUAAUGACAGUACCGGGAGAAUAAGCUCCGGCUAACUCCGUG